UACAGAGGGUGCGAGCGUUAAUCGGAAUUACUGGGCGUAAAGCGCGCGUAGGCGGCUUUGCAAGUCGGGUGUGAAAUCCCCAGGCUUAUCCUGGGAACUGCAUUCGAGACUGCAUUGCUAGAGUAUGGGAGAGGGAAGUGGAAUUUCCGGUGUAGCGGUGAAAUGCGUAGAUAUCGGAAAGAACAUCAGUGGCGAAAGCGACUUCCUGGACCAAUACUGACGCUCAUGUGCGAAAGCGUGGGGAGCAAACAGG
RNAcentral lists this ribosomal RNA (253 nucleotides) under uncultured bacterium. RNAcentral's name for it is "partial 16S ribosomal RNA". It matches the Rfam family "Bacterial small subunit ribosomal RNA", at positions 524 to 776 of the family's 1533-position model. The record is from RNAcentral.